Molecule: ribosomal RNA, 535 nt
Filed under: Candidatus Neomicrothrix parvicella
Lineage: Bacteria; Bacillati; Actinomycetota; Acidimicrobiia; Acidimicrobiales; Microthrixaceae
Description: bacterial SSU rRNA
Rfam family: Bacterial small subunit ribosomal RNA
Source: RNAcentral
CAGUAGGGAACAAUGGGCGAAAGCCUGACGCAGCAAUGCCGCGUGCGGGACGAAGGCCCUAGGCCGCUUUCAGUAGGGACGAAAAUGACGGUACCUGCAGAAGAAGCUCCGGCCAACUACGUGCCAGCAGCCGCGGUGAUACGUAGGGAGCAAGCGUUGUCCGGAAUUACUGGGCGUAAAGGGCUCGUAGGUGGUUGAGUAAGUCAGAUGUGAAAUCUCAGGGCCCAACCCUGAGCCUGCAUUUGAUACUGCUCUGACUAGAGUCCGGUAGGGGAGUGCGGAACUCCUGGUGUAGCGGUGAAAUGCGCAGAUAUCAGGAAGAACACCGACAGCGAAGGCAGCACUCUGGGCCGGUACUGACACUGAGGAGCGAAAGCAUGGGUAGCAAACAGGAUUAGAUACCCUGGUAGUCCAUGCCGUAAACGUUGGGCACUAGGUGUGGGGAGAACUCAACUCUCUCCGCGCCGUAGCUAACGCAUUAAGUGCCCCGCCUGGGGAGUACGGCCGCAAGGCUAAAACUCAAAGGAAUUGACGG